UACGUAGGGGGCAAGCGUUGUCCGGAUUUAUUGGGCGUAAAGAGCGUGUAGGCGGCUUGACAGGUCUGCUGUGAAAACUCGAGGCUCAACCUCGAGAUGUCGGCGGAAACCGUCUGGCUAGAGUCCGGAAGAGGAGAGUGGAAUUCCUGGUGUAGCGGUGAAAUGCGCAGAUAUCAGGAAGAACACCGGUGGCGAAGGCGGGUCUCUGGGCCGAUACUGACGCUGAGGAGCGAAAGCGUGGGGAGCGAACAGG
Molecule: ribosomal RNA, 253 nt
Filed under: uncultured bacterium
Lineage: Bacteria
Description: partial 16S ribosomal RNA
Rfam family: Bacterial small subunit ribosomal RNA
Source: RNAcentral